GUGUGUUCGUGGGGUGGAGGUGUGUUCGUUGGGCGGAGGUGUGUUCGUGGGGUGGAGGUGUGUUCAUGGUGCGGAGGUGUGUUCGUGGUGUGGAGGUGUGUUCGUGGUGCGGAGGUGUGUUCGUGGUGCGGAGGUGUGUUCGUGGUGCGGAGGUGUGUUCGUGGUGCGGAGGUGUGUUCAUGGGGUGGAGGUGUGUUCAUGGUGCGGAGGUGUGUUCGUGGUGCGGAGGUGUGUUCAUGGUGCGGAGGUGUGUUCGUGGUGCGGAGGUGUGUUCGUGGUGCGGAGGUGUGUUCGUGGUGCGGAGGUGUGUUCAUGGGGUGGAGGUGUGUUCAUGGUGCGGAGGUGUGUUCGUGGGGCGGAGGUGUGUUCGUUGGGCGGAGGUGGGAAUUGGUGCGGAGGUGUGUUCGUGGUGCGGAGGUGUGUUCGUGGGGUGGAGGUGUGUUCGUGGGGUGGAGGUGUGUUCGUGGUGUGGAGGUGUGUUCGUGGGGCGGAGGUGUGUUCAUGGGGUGGAGGUGUGUUCAUGGUGCGGAGGUGUGUUCGUGGUGCGGAGGUGUGUUCGUGGUGUGGAGGUGUGUUCGUGGGGUGGAGGUGUGUUCGUGGUGCGGAGGUGUGUUCGUGGUGUGGAGGUGUGUUCAUGGUGUGGAGGUGUGUUCGUGGGGUGGAGGUGUGUUCAUGGUGCGGAGGUGUGUUCGUGGGGCGGAGGUGUGUUCGUGGGGCGGAGGUGUGUUCGUGGUGCGGAGGUGUGUUCAUGGUGUGGAGGUGUGUUCGUGGGGCGGAGGUGUGUUCGUGGGGCGGAGGUGUGUUCGUGGGGCGGAGGUGUGUUCGUGGGGUGGAGGUGUGUUCGUGGUGCGGAGGUGUGUUCGUGGGGUGGAGGUGUGUUCGUUGGGCGGAGGUGGGAAUUGGUGCGGAGGUGUGUUCGUGGUGCGGAGGUGUGUUCGUGGUGCGGAGGUGUGUUCGUGGGGUGGAGGUGUGUUCAUGGUGCGGAGGUGUGUUCGUGGGGUGGAGGUGUGUUCGUUGGGCGGAGGUGUGUUCGUGGUGUGGAGGUGUGUUCGUGGGGCGGAGGUGUGUUCGUGGGGCGGAGGUGUGUUCAUGGGGUGGAGGUGUGUUCAUGGUGUGGAGGUGUGUUCGUGGUGCGGAGGUGUGUUCGUGGGGUGGAGGUGUGUUCGUGGGGCGGAGGUGUGUUCAUGGUGCGGAGGUGUGUUCGUGGGGCGGAGGUGUGUUCGUGGUGUGGAGGUGUGUUCGUGGGGUGGAGGUGUGUUCAUGGUGCGGAGGUGUGUUCGUGGGGCGGAGGUGGGAAUUGGUGCGGAGGUGUGUUCGUGGGGCGGAGGUGUGUUCGUGGUGCGGAGGUGUGUUCGUGGGGUGGAGGUGUGUUCGUGGGGCGGAGGUAAGAGGGGACAGAGGAGGGUUGGGGCCGUCCCGGAGAGCAGGAACGGGGCAGGACCGUCUGAGUCUGAAUUGUGUGGGAGGAGGAGCCGGGAGCUGAUGAAAUAGCUCACUGUGCAUUCUUACUGCGAAUAAUGGAUAAAGUUCUACUCCUGUAGUUACUUGGUUACAUGGAUGUGUAGAACAGCUAAAGUUCCCGGUGCUACUGUUUAAAGAAAAGCGCAAAUCCUGCAAGCUUGCGAUGCGGUUUUGGCAUUCCUCGUGCAGUCCGAACGCUGCUGCCGCUGCACCGGCGCCGGUGUCAGGAGGCGAAAGGAGAUGAACGAGCCAAAAAUUGUUACCUGAAACCGCACUGCACUCUGAAGCCUGUUCCAAGCUGCAGGUGUUGGUUUGGGUUUUGUUGGUGGUGGUGUUUUUGUACAACUGCACCUUAACUGAAGGCAUUUGAGAAACAAUGAGAUACUUAUUUUUCUUCCCUUUUAAAAACUCAUUUUUAUAACAAAAUAGCACUCAAGUGCUUGCCCGGUGUUAGCCCUGCUGCGCCUGCCCGACCUGUCCAGGUGUGUUCCUCACAGGAAAAGGGCUGGAUGUGGAGAAUUCCAAACGCUCACCAGGGCAAGGGAGACUUGCCGGGUGCCCACGGCCUCUCCCAGGGACGCAGUCGCCGUGUUCAGUCCUUGCCCCACCAGCACCCCGAAGAGCUGGGUACAGGCUCCAGUUUGCUUCUACAAUAACCCCGCCUUGAAACGGCGAGUGUGUGUUCUACAUAUUCCUCUAGAUGCAAGAGUAGCUGCAGAGAAGGCAGGUCAUCUAGUCCCCAAAAUGUAAACAUGUUUUUAUUUAAUGCCUUUCACUCAUCACAAGGUACUUUUUCCCCAGCCCCCAAAACCAAGAUGGCAGCAUAAGGCACCGUGUAGACACAUGCACAGUCCCCAUACCAUCUAUGUAGGAUUUAAAACACAGCUAUUGUCCUCACCAACAGUACCAUGUGUCCUUAUUAUUCAUGUACACAAUACGAUUUUCCCCAGAGUUUGUUCUGGAGAAAUGAACAAUUAAUUUAGAAUGGUAAGACUUUCCCCCACCCACCCCAAAAAGCCAGAUUAAAAACACAGGCACAGAGCUUAACACCAGAGUAAUGAGAUUAGUUCAUAAAUUAAAAAAAUACAAAAAAGAAAAAAAAAGAACAGUUUCACUCUUAUUUUCAGAAGGUUCCCCGUGAUGUGAUGUAUUGAUGUAUUGUGCAGAGACUCCUUACGGCGUCCUCUUCCCCUCUCAAAAGCAAGAAAGCUGACAAGUUGCCCCAAGACUUGUAGUGUUUGUCACUGACGGCAAAAAGGCAGCUACAGCUCUACACAGCCGGCUGAACUGCGGCAUCGCAGCUGAUCCGAAGGCUCUUCCUCUGUCCAAAGGAAGAAGGACUUGACACAAUGUUCUUUGGCUGCAAGUUCUUAAAGGCUUCCACUGAAAGGGUUCUCCUUCAAAAAAAAGAAAAACUGCAGUUGCUGUGGGAUUUUUCAAUGACAAAAUGUUGAGGAAUAGGUGGAACCGAUGCGAUAGUUUGAGUGAAGCCCUCACAGUGCUAAGAUGUUGGGGUCUGCUACAAAUAUUCAAGUUCCAAGGCGUGCCGAAGAGCUUCCAGGUCGGCGUGACAAGAGAUUCUCCAGAACGGCAUG
Molecule: long non-coding RNA, 3056 nt
Organism: Columba livia (rock pigeon)
Lineage: Eukaryota; Metazoa; Chordata; Aves; Columbiformes; Columbidae
Exons: 2
Source: RefSeq, a predicted model, not a curated record